This 455-nucleotide ribosomal RNA is filed under the name uncultured organism. Its description in RNAcentral is "partial 16S ribosomal RNA". It matches the Rfam family "Bacterial small subunit ribosomal RNA", at positions 330 to 801 of the family's 1533-position model. The record is from RNAcentral.
CGUACACUCCUACGGGAGGCAGCAGUGGGGAAUAUUGGACAAUGGGCGCAAGCCUGAUCCAGCCAUGCCGCGUGAGUGAUGAAGGCCCUAGGGUUGUAAAGCUCUUUCACCGGUGAAGAUAAUGACGGUAACCGGAGAAGAAGCCCCGGCUAACUUCGUGCCAGCAGCCGCGGUAAUACGAAGGGGGCUAGCGUUGUUCGGAUUUACUGGGCGUAAAGCGCACGUAGGCGGACUAUUAAGUCAGGGGUGAAAUCCCGGGGCUCAACCCCGGAACUGCCUUUGAUACUGGUAGUCUUGAGUUCGAGAGAGGUGAGUGGAAUUCCGAGUGUAGAGGUGAAAUUCGUAGAUAUUCGGAGGAACACCAGUGGCGAAGGCGGCUCACUGGCUCGAUACUGACGCUGAGGUGCGAAAGCGUGGGGAGCAAACAGGAUUAGAAACCCGGGUAGUCCCAUGAU